UACAUAUCAAUAUAAUUAUUACUUGUAUAUACGUUUGUAUAUUUGAAUUUCGCGCGCUAAACUGUAACUUAACUUUUACCUGCGAGAACAAGAUGUGCGCGCAUGCUUGUAGGAGAACAGAGACAGCCAUAUACGUGUCAACACGUUUGAUAUCGGUAAUACGGAAACUUGUUUAACACGCAAACUACAGCUUGCGUGUAUAUCCGGUCAUGUGACGAUAGCUGUCACACUGUCACACUGACGAGUGUGGUAUUCCUUGGCCAGUGAGGUGCCUCUCCAGGAUGGUCAGCGACCCUGUGCAUUUGGCAUGAUCAUGGAGGCAGGUCAGGUUGCUUUAAGGUUCCGGGGAUAUGGUGGCUCCUCAACCCCUACAUAGGAACGUUGUACAGUACAGUUACUGUUGUGAUCACAUCGAUGUGGAUGACAGCCUACUCGAUGAUGAGACUGUUUAUUGAUAUAUUAGGUAGAACUCUGUCUACUUCUUCAGUAAAUAUAUAGAUGUACUCUAAAACAGUGAAGGAAUACAGUCCUCCAAUGGUUAUAUGCAUGUAUUUUGCCAUAUGUAUUAUUGUGUGCUAUUUUAAAGUAUGGAAGUGAGAGAGACUGGUAUAUUUUGUCAUCCUGUUUUGUAUAUGAUCAUUGUUUGUAUAUAAAAGUGUAUAUAGUGUAAA
Long non-coding RNA from Pecten maximus, 671 nucleotides. RefSeq lists it as uncharacterized. The record is from RefSeq and is a predicted model, not a curated record. The transcript has 2 exons. Lineage: Eukaryota; Metazoa; Mollusca; Bivalvia; Pectinida; Pectinidae.